AUGUAGCCAAGUGGAUUAAGGCGGUGGAUUGUGAAUCC
This 38-nucleotide transfer RNA is filed under the name Najas minor (brittle naiad). RNAcentral describes it as "partial tRNA-His". The record is from RNAcentral. Lineage: Eukaryota; Viridiplantae; Streptophyta; Magnoliopsida; Alismatales; Hydrocharitaceae.